UGGGGAAUAUUGCACAAUGGAGGGAACUCUGAUGCAGCAACGCCGCGUGCGGGAUGACGGCCUUCGGGUUGUAAACCGCUUUCAGCCAUGACGAAGCUUUUGUGACGGUAGUGGUAGAAGAAGCACCGGCUAACUACGUGCCAGCAGCCGCGGUGAUACGUAGGGUGCGAGCGUUGUCCGGAAUUAUUGGGCGUAAAGAGCUUGUAGGCGGUUUGUCGCGUCGAUAGUGUAAACACGCAGCUUAACUGUGUGCCUGCUGUCGAUACGGGCUGACUAGAGGAGGGUAGGGGAGAAUGGAAUUCCCGGUGGAGCGGUGGAAUGCGCAGAUAUCGGGAGGAACACCAGUGGCGAAGGCGGUUCUCUGGACCUUUCCUGACGCUGAGAAGCGAAAGUGUGGGUAGCAAACAGG
Molecule: ribosomal RNA, 409 nt
Filed under: Fusobacteriota bacterium
Lineage: Bacteria; Fusobacteriati; Fusobacteriota
Description: Fusobacteria bacterium partial 16S ribosomal RNA
Rfam family: Bacterial small subunit ribosomal RNA
Source: RNAcentral